GUGUUGCUUUGGCAGCUCAUAUACUGAAAUUAGAAUAACACGGAGAUUAGCAUGGCCUCUGCUGAAGAACAACAUGUAAACUCAUGAAGCAUUCCAUUUUUUU
Small nuclear RNA from Homo sapiens (human), 103 nucleotides. The record is from Ensembl. NCBI's taxonomy places the organism in Eukaryota, Metazoa, Chordata, Mammalia, Primates, Hominidae.